UAACGCGUGAGUAACCUGCCUCAUACAGGGGAAUAACAGUUAGAAAUGACUGCUAAUGCCGCAUAAGCGCACAGGGCCGCAUGGCCCGGUGUGAAAAACUCCGGUGGUAUGAGAUGGACUCGCGUCUGAUUAGCUAGUUGGCAGGGUAACGGCCUACCAAGGCGACGAUCAGUAGCCGGCCUGAGAGGGUGAACGGCCACAUUGGGACUGAGACACGGCCCAA
This 223-nucleotide ribosomal RNA is filed under the name uncultured bacterium. RNAcentral describes it as "partial 16S ribosomal RNA". It matches the Rfam family "Bacterial small subunit ribosomal RNA", at positions 111 to 334 of the family's 1533-position model. The record is from RNAcentral.